UGCCAUACAUCACGCAGAGAGCAGGAUACCUGCCCUGCCUUGUGCCAAGCAGCCAUCAGACCUCCACGGAUCCCUUCAGGCAGCAGAAACAAGGGCAUCAGCAGCUGCCCCCAGGACUUUCACAGGCUGUCAGUAGUGUAGAGUAGUUCGAAAAUCUUUGGAACACAGUGGAUGUUGAUGCUGGUGGACGUCUGAAAUAUCAGGACUUUUUGAGAAAGUUCAGCUCAGAACUCGUAACGAUGCCAUCAAGCACUCCCAGCGUUACUAGUCUUGCAACUUCUACCAAGCUAGUUACCCGUGCCAUGCAGGAACCACAAGUGUCUUCUCAGCCUGAGCGUCCCAACACAUUAUCUUCUCUAGUAGGGCAAAAGAGUACACCAGCAUCCAGCUAUCCUCAGACAGCAACGGCAUGUUCUACACCUGUCCUUAAUUGUGAAACAAUAGAAAAUAAGAUAAGAAAGGAUAUCCAACGUUCCUGGAGAAGCAUAAUGAAACUGCAAAGAGAAGGAUGUCGGCAAGCUAGGAGAAAUCCCAGUGUCAGACUUCCUCGGUUUGUUACCAUCUGAAAAGUGCUCUAUUCAUUCUCAGAUGUGUUCUGUUUUCCUUCUGAUGUCCUGGCCAUUGGCCACUUUAAUCAGAAAGCAUCCACUGUGUGAUUGCUCCAGGUACCACCCUGCUACUGCAGAGCAGAACAGCUUACUGUACACUUGGGUGCAAUAAGUUCAUGUUCCUCUUCAGAAUUAUCUACUGUUUAGAAAAAGAGGACCUGGCUAUUCUUGUUGAUACUUUUGGUUUGCAUACAAGCUGUCUCAUCGCCUUCCCAGUACACUACCCUUAGCAUGCCUAGUGAUAACUGAACAGCUUCACCAAUCUUUUACUGUGAUCUUCUAUGUGCUUCUGGCUGCUCUGGUCUUGAUGGGUGAAUGCCUGCUGAUUUCAAAGGAUCUUGGAUUUUACUCUUGGACAAGAUGAGCUAUGCUGCUCUUCUGUUGUGUUCUCUUCUACACAGAAUUCUCAGUGUUUUUCUUAGGACAUUUGCAUGUGUGAUAAGACAACGUGCACCUGUGUAAUUACAUAUAAACUCCUCGGUAUAAGAACAUGUUAGCUUAUCAGAACAUUUAUUACAGUUAGCACGAAGGCAUACUUCUUGUGCAUUUAAAACCAAAGUACCGUGAUAUUAGUACCCUGAAGCCCUGUUAAAUGUGAACUGCCACCUCUAUAAGUUUAGGCAUGUGUAUAUACCUGCAUCUAGCAAUAGCUGCAUAAUACAUUUAUGGAGCAGUCACUGCAACUGAGCUUGUCAACAUUAUUCCUGUUAAAACUGGUGUACAGUACAAUGAUUGUCUAUUUUUAUGAAUGACAAAAUGAAUAUUCUUUCUGCAUUUCUGUAUUAUUUCAGAUAUAGCAGAGAUGUUCCACUGGCGUUUAAGUAAAGAGGAAAUUAACCAAAUAACAACAAAAUAUGACUUCAAGAAGAAUGGAAAAUUUGCAUACCGUGACUUCCUUCAGAGUUGUAUCUUGUUAAAACCACAGAAAAGCUCACUGCUACAAAGGGUGAUUAUACAGAAGCCACAAAAACCAGUACAAACAAAGCAUAUAAAAAUCAAAAUUACAUUUUUUUUUUCAAUUUCUUCUGUAGUGACAUAGUAUUCUAGCAUUCUCUUAUGUAAUCCUCUUAUAUUAAUUGUUAGUAUUCAUUUGGUAUCUCCUUCAGUUGGAAGAUUUAACUCCUUGUGAUCAUGCUCCCUUGUACCCAAGUUGUAUGGUAAAUUGGUUAAAUUUGCUAAAAUGUGGAUAAUAAUUACUAGUGGAAAACCUUUAAGAGCUUUUGCUGAACUAAAUAAAAAUCAAGUUAGAAAUAAAAUGCA
Molecule: long non-coding RNA, 1868 nt
Filed under: Anser brachyrhynchus (Pink-footed goose)
Lineage: Eukaryota; Metazoa; Chordata; Aves; Anseriformes; Anatidae
Description: lncRNA (ENSABRG00000009120.1)
Source: RNAcentral